AGACAUAAAUGCAGAAAAACAGGCAUGGAGGCAGGCAGACAGGCAUGGAGGAAGACAGACUGGCUGCAGGGGCCUGGAAGGAAUGGUUGAUAGAGGCCAGAAGGGAGGGAAGUGAUUGCUUUGCCGUGAGCAGUUAGAAUGGGAUUCAGAAAUAAGGGUAAGGCAGCAGUAAAUGCCGGCCUGGGUGUUGGUAGACCUAGGUCACUAGGAUCUGCAUCUAAAAGGAAGGGACGCUUCCUUAUGACAGAAGGAUGGUGCUCCAUGUCAUGUGGGUUGGUGUCAGAGGUUAUCAGAACUGCUGCGGUUUUGGAGGACAAAUAUGCCCCUGUCGAGACAACCAGAGCACCGUAGAUCUGAUCUAGGCCAUCAUGGCAAUCCAUCUCCAGUCACAGGUCAUCGUCUAGGACGACAGCCAGGCACAACGCUGGACAGCCUAUCCAUCUCCAGUCACAGGUCAUCGUCUAGGACGACAGCCAGGCACAACGCUGGACAGCCUAUCCAUCUCCAGUCACAGGUCAUCGUCUAGGACGACAGCCAGGCACAACGCUGGACAGCCUAUCCAUCUCCAGUCACAGGUCAUCGUCUAGGACGACAGCCAGGCACAACGCUGGACAGCCUAUCCAUCUCCAGUCACAGGUCAUCGUCUAGGACGACAGCCAGGCACAACGCUGGACAGCCUAUCCAUCUCCAGUCACAGGUCAUCGUCUAGGACGACAGCCAGGCACAACGCUGGACAGCCUAUCCAUCUCCAGUCACAGGUCAUCGUCUAGGACGACAGCCAGGCACAACGCUGGACAGCCUAUCCAUCUCCAGUCACAGGUCAUCGUCUAGGACGACAGCCAGGCACAACGCUGGACAGCCUAUCCAUCUCCAGUCACAGGUCAUCGUCUAGGACGACAGCCAGGCACAACGCUGGACAGCCUAUCCAUCUCCAGUCACAGGUCAUCGUCUAGGACGACAGCCAGGCACAACGCUGGACAGCCUAUCCAUCUCCAGUCACAACGCUGGACAGCCUAUCCAU
Oncorhynchus keta (chum salmon) is the source of this 1021-nucleotide long non-coding RNA. RefSeq lists it as uncharacterized. The record is from RefSeq and is a predicted model, not a curated record. Lineage: Eukaryota; Metazoa; Chordata; Actinopteri; Salmoniformes; Salmonidae. The transcript has 3 exons.